GCACACAUGAAUAUGCUUCUACACACACACCUCACGCCUCACCUGCACCUUCCUCCCUGAAAUGUUACCAUUCUGACUCACAAUUAAACCUAUUCAUAUCAUCUCUGAUACCCAUUUCAGGAAGAGGAAUGAAACAGAUACCUCUGAUUGUGUGAGUCAUCCCACGAGUAUCGUACUACUAGACAGGCACUCUAACACCAGCUUCCAGUGCUUCUUUCAAGUCCAUUUAUUGCUGCGAUUGGCAUAGUGACUUGGGAAGAUGACAAGCACGACUCUGCCUUCAGGAUUAUCGCAUGAGGUUGGAGAGGGAUUCCGUCCAAAUGACAAGGAGUUGGUUAAUCAUUUUCUUAAGCUGAAGUUGCUUGGCUAUGAUCAACGAGUCCGUAAAAUCCCUCAACUUAACAUCUACAAAUUUGAGCCCUGGGAUUUACCGCAGCAUUUUGGAACAGAUUUAGGCAAUCCAUAUUGGUAUUUCUUCUGUCCACGCAAUAAUGGAAGGCCCAGCAGGACUACAGAAGCUGG
RNAcentral lists this unclassified non-coding RNA (522 nucleotides) under Hevea brasiliensis (rubber tree). The record is from RNAcentral. Lineage: Eukaryota; Viridiplantae; Streptophyta; Magnoliopsida; Malpighiales; Euphorbiaceae.